This 199-nucleotide ribosomal RNA is filed under the name uncultured bacterium. RNAcentral describes it as "partial 16S ribosomal RNA". It matches the Rfam family "Bacterial small subunit ribosomal RNA", at positions 328 to 539 of the family's 1533-position model. The record is from RNAcentral.
ACGCUCGACACCUACGAGAGGCAGCAGUCGGGAAUAUUGCGCAAUGGAGGAAACUCUGACGCAGUGACGCCGCGUGCAGGAAGAAGGUUUUCGGAUUGUAGACUGCUUUAGACAGGGAAGAAAAAAGACAGUACCUGUAGAAUAAGCUCCGGCUAACUACGUGCCAACAGCCGCGGUAAUCUGAGCGGGCUGGCAAGGC